Molecule: long non-coding RNA, 11076 nt
Filed under: Daucus carota (carrot)
Lineage: Eukaryota; Viridiplantae; Streptophyta; Magnoliopsida; Apiales; Apiaceae
Description: long non-coding RNA (DCAR_LNC002562)
Source: RNAcentral
AAUGUUGCAUAUAUAGGUCAGUAAGUUGAGCCCCAAAUAAUAUAUGUCAGUAUUAAUUAUGACACCCACAAGCGAAACACUAAUCAGAUUACGGAAACCUUUAUAUUCCGGGGGUGGUGUGGGCAUACCGUGACUAGACUCUGAUGACUCAACUCUGAACAUGAAAACAAAUAAGAUGGUAUUUUGUAGGCACUGGAUGUACGAUUAUGAAGUUCCAGUUCCCUAACUCCAGUGUUUGAUAUGUUUUUAACCCAAAUAUCUAUAUCUGAAUAGAGAUGUAGAGGCAGAUCAUUAGGAAUGCAAAGAAUAAACUCUAAUAUGAGACCAUUACGAGAUAAAAUAAUACUGCUGACGGUUCUUGAAAAUUCAUAUAGUUUAGUUUCUCUACUUCUGAAAGAAAACCUCUGAGAAAGCCGGUUGAAGAAAAGGUCAUCAAAAACUAGGUGUGUGCGCAUUUCCCAUUUACCCCUCCAUCUUUUGAGAGUAUGCUCAUUCUUGUUACACAGUCAACUGGUAAUCGCUUUUGAAUAAGGUCUAGUAAGUCGCUAGGCAUGUCACUGAUAAUAUCAACCGCGUCUUAACAAUCAAGCCGUCUUGUGUUAGCAAUACUAGUCAUAUUUCUGAAUAUUAGAAGAAGUAAGAACCAAACUGAAAAGAUGUACAAACAAUAAUACUAUAAUAUAAAUAUAAUUAAGUAUAUUUGUAGUGGCCAACCGGGUAGUAGCAAUUAAUCAAAUUUAUCGUAGCACAGAAUUUAAAGAACAUUAUAUCCAUAAGAGCCAUAUAUGUAAAUAAUUCAACUAAACCAUUAUCACAUUUGGAAAAAAGUGGCAAAUCAUUUUCGUAUAUAUUAGCGAAAGUUUAACAGUUAAUUAAAACCCCUAAAUCAAAGAUAGAAAAAGAUUAUGUGAGAUCAACAUACAUAAAAACAUUGAUUUAUUCAAAAAGUUGAUUCACACACACACACACAAACAUAUAUUUAAACAUUUAUAUAUUUGAUUCAUGUAUUGGUGGGAGUGAGACAUUAUGAGUGCGGUGGAAUGAGGAAAGAAAUGUGAGGAUUAGUGAUACAACCCUAAUUCUUAAUUAUGUAAUCUAUAUAACGAUGUCGUGUAAUAAGUUGACUGCAAGAUAUUUGCAUAUGCUAAAAAACCGUAUCGUGUGGAACAGAACAUUCUAAAAUGGCUAAACACAACACCGUUUAAGGAUAAUAUUUACAAAUCAAUUCUUUUUUUUUAUUUAUUUCCAUUUUAGGGGCAGUAUGCUGAUACUUGUGUACAGGGAAACAACUAUCAACAUAUGUAGACAUUCCCCUGCCUAAAUAACAACCCUCCUCCAAAAUGGAAAUAAAUAUAAAAAGAAAUGAUUUGUAGAUAUUAUCCUUAAACGAUGUCGUGUUUAGCCAUUCUAGAAUGUUCUUUUUCAUAUGAUGCCGUUUUCUAGCAUAUGCAAAUAUUUUGCAGUCAAAUUAUUACACGACGUCGUUAUAGAGAUUACAUAAUUAAGAAUUAGGGUUGUAUCGCUAAUUCUCACAUUCUUUCUCACUCCGCCGCGCUCAUGUUGUCUCACUCCCAGCAAAGGUAUCAAAUGUUUAUAUAUAUUUAUGUGUGUGUGUGUGUAUUUGAAUCAUUGUUUUUUUUGAAUAUAUCAAUGUCUUUAUGUAUGUUGAUAUCUCACAUAAUAUUUUUUUCCAUUUUUGCUUUAAGGGUUUUAAUUAAUUGUUGAACUUUCGCUAAUAUAUAUGAAAAUGGUUUUGGCACUUUUUUCCAUAUGUGAUAAUGGUUUAGUUGAAUUGUUUACAUACUCGGCUGUGAUGCAUAAAUGUUCAUUAAAUUCAGUACUAUGAUAAGUUUGAUUAAUUGUUACUACCCAGUUGGUCUUUAUAUAUUGUAGCAUUACUGUUUGUAAAAUUCUUUUCAGUUUGGUUCCUACUUCUUUUAAGUAUUCAGAGAUAUGCCCAGUGAUGCUAACACAAGGCGGCUUGAUUGUGGAGACGCAGUUGAUAUUAUCAGUGACCUGCCCAGUGACUUAUUAGACCUUAUUCUAAACCGAUUGCCGGUUGACUGUGUAGCAAGAAUGUGCAUUCUCUAAAAAUCAUGGAGGGGUAAACGGGAAAUGCACCCACACUUAUUUUUUGAUGACCUUCUCUCCAACUGGCUUUCUCGGAGGUUUCCUUCCAGAAGUAGAGAAACUAAACUAUAUAAAUUUUCAAGAACUUUUAUCAGUAUUCUUUUAUCUUGUAGUGGUCUCAUAUUGAAGUUUGUUCUUUGCAUUCCUAAUGAUUUGUUUCUUCAUCUCUAUUCAAAUAUAGAUAUUUGAAUUAAAAACGUAAGAAACAAUGGAGUUAGGGAAGUGCAACUUCAUAAUCGUACAUUGAGUGCCUACAAAAUACCAUCUUAUUUGUUUUCCGGUUCAGAGUUGACUUGUUUAAUUCUAAGUUACUGUAUGCUCACACCACCCCCUAAAAUUGGAGGCUUCCAUAAUUUGAUUAUUGUUUCACUUGUGGGUGUCAUAAUUACUAUUGCCAUAUCAUUUGGGGCUCAACUUAUGGACCUACAUUUACAACGUUCUCAGAUAUUAUUGCGGGAGAAGAUGAUCAUCACCUACCACCUUACAAUCCAAAACAUUAGAUUGCGCAUCGUUUAUCCUCUUUUUCUUCUUAACCAUCUAGUGUUUUAAGACCUAAACGCUAUUUCCUGUAGAUUUUUUCAGGUGGAUGCAUUCACAGAAUCAGCGUUCAAGGGAAACCCAGCUGCAGUUUGUUUGUUAGAAGAGGAAAAAGGUGAGAAAUGGCUACAAUUGGUGGCCACUGAGUUCAAUCUCUCUGAGACAUGUUUCUUGACUAGGAUUGACUUGGAUUCGCCUAAUCCCAGGUUUCAGCUCAGAUGAUUCACUCCUGUUGCUGAGGUUCACUUGCUCUUGAUUCUUGUCUGUGUUUUUUGGGGUUUUAUGAUUCCCCGGGUGUCAAAUUCUGGUCUUGGGUAUUGGGUUUGUGUAAAGAUUUGAUUUUUUUGGUGGUAGCGGUCUUGAAUUGAAUUUGUGUAUUGGGGUUGCUUAAAGAUUUGAUCUCUUUGGUGUUAGCAGUCUUGAAUUUAACAUGGGGCAAAAUAAAGUUGAUUUAGACAUUCAAGCGGACGUAAUAACAAAUAAGUAUGAUAUGCAUAUUAAAUCCCUUUGUUACUGAGGUUCAGUUACUAUUGAGUCUUGUCCAUCUUUUUGGUUUUUGUGAUUCCCCGGAUGUCUAAUUUUGAUCUCGUUAGUAGCUCAUUUAUCUGUGUAUUGGGUUGACGUAAAGAUUUGAUCUUUUUGGUGUUACUGGUCUUGAAUAUGAAUUCGGGCAAAAUAAAGUGUUUUAAAAAAGUUAGUUUGGAGUUUGGACACUCAAGCUGAAUAUUCCCGCAAAGAUGGCUUUUCGAGUAAAUUAAGUAUGAUAUACAUAUUAAACCGCUUUAGUAAUAAUUUAAAAUUCUAGUGGAUUUGGUAACUUAAUAGAUAUUAUGUACUUUCAAUAUGUUAUUGCUUUGCUUAUGGAAUAGGUAAAGCAUGAAUAACCACGUCUUUUCUUAAUUAUGCCAUAUCACUGCUACUUUGUCAGUUGUCAUUUUACUUGAAUGUUGAAUAAAACAUGCAUAAUUAGACUAUGUUUUAUUGGAUAGCCACAGGUGGUGGUUGCUUUAUCUUCCCAUCUGAAACGGGUCUAAGCAAUCAUAUGUGUGAUAGCUAAAACUGAUGAAGAUAGUGGCUUUCUCUAUAUUAAAUUUACCAAUUGCUGGAAAAGUCAUUCGUAGCCGGCUUUUUAUAGUUUACGAAGACUUGCUAGUUUUCAUCUCUAUGCAUGAUGUCUGCUUACAGGUUAAACUUUGUGGCCAUGCAACUUUGGCGGCAUCCCACUUCAUCUUCUCAUCUGGUUUGGUGAAAGUUAAUGUGAUCGAGUUCAUGACACUGUCUGGAGUUUUGACUGCUAGGAGGGUUUCACUGCCUGAAGUUUCUGUAUUAUCACAGUUGAAAAGUGAUGGUUUCUGUAUAGAGUUGGAUUUUCCUGUCGUGCCACUGGUUGAAUAUACUUCUGUUGAGGUGUCAAACAUUUCACAAAGUUUAAAUGGCGCCUCUAUUGUUGACAUCAAGAAAAGGACUACAGAAGAUGACCUCCUUGUAUGUGUUUGGCUUUGCUCUAACAUUUUGUUAAUAUCAUUACCAUGUGGAUACAUUCUUUCUGGAAGUUGUUUAUGAUGGGGCUAACAUAUCUAAACAGUGAAAUGUUAUAUACUAGUGCCAUUGUUUCUUGCUUUGGAAAAGUUAAUAUUUUGUAUUUGAGGAAUGUAAAAGUCAUCUAAAAAUGCAGGUUAUGCUCUCAUCUGGAAAGACUGUUGCAGAAUUACAGCCGAUGUUUGAAAAGAUACAGAAACUUCCUUGCAGAGGAAUGACAGUAACAGCGCUUGCUCCCUCUGAAUCUGGGUUUGACAUAUACAGCCGCUUCUUUUGUCUUAAAUAUGGGAUUAAGGAGGUAAACAUUAAGCUAAAUAUCAGGAUUCAUUUAUAAUUUUCGAAACAUUUGGAGUUUUCUCAUAGUCUUGCUACACUUGGUAUGUGGUAGUCUCUUCAUAACCUGUCUACCUUCCGGAUACAUUCUUGUCUUUCUUUUCCUAUGUGUAGAAUUCGGAUAUUCCAUUUGGCCUCCACCCGCCUUUCAUUAUAGUUCAUUUGCUAGAUUAUUUGUAUAAUGUUGAAUCCAAAACUAAAUUUAAAUUGUCUAUCCUUAGCCUCCUUGCUUCUUAUUGUCUGUGGAUAUACAGGCACGUGCUGUUUUAAGGGUGAAAUUUAGUUGAAUCCGGGUUUUCGAUAGAGGUGCUAGUUUUUAUGUCCUGUCUUCCCCUAUAGACUAUAGUUACAUGCACCAGGUCAAUAACUAAAGAAAGAGCUUAUCUAAAAGUUGAACAUCUGUCCUGAGUGCUGGGACUUGAUACAAUCGGUAACCUCUUUAAUGCGUGCAAUUUUAUUUCAGGAUCCUGUCACAGGCAUUGCACGUUGUGCCUUGGCACCCUUUGGUGCCAAAAGCUGGGAAAAAGUGAUCUUGUUGCAUAUCAGGUUAUUGUUCUUAGUGCUCACUGCUCACUCUCUGCCUAACUCUAUCAAAUGUGUAUGCACACACUGAUUUCAUAUUUGAUCCAUUUGGAGCUUGUUCAUUAAACUCACUAUUCAACUUUGUGAUGUAGUAUUUCGUGAAUUCAGGCAUCAACAAGAGGUGGCUUCAUAAGAUUUCAUCUAGAUGAGAGGAAUCAAAGGGUAAUGCUCCAAGGGAAAGCUGUUACUGUGAUGGAAGGUUCUCUCCUAGUUUAAAUAUGGAGGUAUUCCUAGAAUGCCUAAAAUGAACUGGGAGCUAUUCAUAAUUAAAACAUCAGAAUCUUGAGAUCAUUAUAUUGUGUCUGUAACAGUUUACUUAACAAGUUUUUAUAGCUAUUUCUUGAUGAACACUAUCUUCUUAAAUGUGUUGUUGAUAUGUGUUUCGUGCUAAUGAUUAUUGAUAAGUAGUACUUUUAUAGUUCUCUUAGAUAGAUUGCUUGCAAUUAUCUAGUUGAUUAAUUAUUGCAGUUGUGUUCACUCUUCAGAGUCACUGAAACUAAAUUGAGUUGGUAAUCUGUUUGUUGGCCUGACAAGUAACAUAAGUGAGUAUUUAUGAGUCAUUUUAUUCAACAUGUUCAAUAUAUCUAUUGCGAAGUAUUGUGCAAAGUAUGGAAAAUCGUAAAUAAUACUGGCAAAAUUGUGCCAAUAUUAUUCAGAUCACUUAACUUCACUUAUUACCGAAAGAAAGCCGUUGAUGAUUAUAUUCUUGCCAAGAUUCAUAUAUUUUUGCUGAUUGUAUACUAGUUUUUAGAAUAUGAAUUGAUAUUGAAUUGAUAUUAUAUUUAAUAAUUGGCAUUUCAUUUAAAAUGAUAGUAUAAUUUUGAUUUUGAAUUUGGAAGGUUAAUUUUGAAUAUUUAGAAAUUAUUUCAAGAAUUUAGUCCGAUAGUCCUAUGUAAUAUGUGUCAGUUCCUUUUUGUAUGUAUUAAGACUUAUGUCAAAUGUAAUUAUAAAAGAGUUUUUGUAUUAUUAUAUGUUGGUAGUUAAUUUUUGGGAUAUUUUUAAAAAUACCCAUCUGUAAAAUUAUUUUUUUAAAAAUACUACCAUCUUUUUCAUUGUUUUUAAAAAUACCUUUUCAUAAAUUUUUUUUUUCAAAAAUACGAUUUGCAACCUUUGCAACCUCAUUUGCAACCUUGGGCGGCGCAGCCGUAAAAGUUGCAAAUGAGGUUGCAAAAGUUGCAAAUAAAAAUGGAAAUGAGGUUGCAAAAGUUGCAAAUGAGGUUGCAAAAGUUGCAAAUAAAAAUGGAAAGUUGCAACAGUUGCAACUGCAAUUGCAACUAGUUCAACUGAAAACUGUAAGUUGCAAAAGUUGCAAAUGAGGUUGCAAAAGUUGCAACUGAGGUUGCAAAAGUUGCAACUGCAGUUGCAAAAGUUGCAACCUCAGUUGCAACUAAAUGCAACUGAAAACUGUAAGUAACAACAGAUGUAUGGUGUGCCCCUGGCGGGGCCGGUAGAUUACAAUAGAAUCAACUGAAUGCAACCAUAUGCAACUGAAUACAACCAUAUGCAACCAUAUAUGCAAUUACAAAUCCUGAUUUCAAGUUCCAGUUUUCGAAUGUCGUUUUCGACCUCAUUUUCGGAAUCGAUAUAUAUAUAUAUAUAUAUAUAUCUGUUCUGAUAUAAAGUCACUAUUCUCGUUAAAACUGCCUUUUGGUAGUUCUGAUAUAGUGACUCAAUAACUCAAUGAUUAAAGGCAGAAUUAAAUAGAUACUCUAGAAGCAAUGUAAAACACUUUUAUAUGAACGGUUUCAGAAAAAAGAUUAUUGAAAAUUUAGAUAUAAAACUGCUUUUACUACUCCCUUUGGUCACUAUGAAUGGAAUGUAGUUCCAUUUGGACUUAAAAAUGCCCCUAGUGAAUUCCAGAAUAUCAUGAAUAAUAUAUUUAACCCCUUUAGCCAUUUCUCAAUAGUAUAUGUAGAUGAUGUUCUUAUCUAUUCUAAUUCUAUUGAAGAACAUUGGAAACAUCUGAACUCUUUUUUCAAUACAAUUAAGACUAAUGGUCUAGUACUAUCACCAACUAAAUGUGUCUUAUUUCAGACAAAAGUAAGAUUUUUAGGUCAUACCAUUCAGUAUGGGAAAAUUAGACCAAUAGAUAGAUCAAUUGAAUUUGCUAGUAAAUUCCCAGAUGAAAUACUUGACAAAACCCAACUCCAAAGAUUUCUAGGAUCACUCAACUACAUAGGAGAAUUUUAUAAAGAUCUUAGGAAGCAAUGUAAACCAUUAUUCGAACGAUUGCAAAAUAAUCCCCCGCCUUGGACUUCUAUCCAUACUUCUAUUGUCCAAGAUAUUAAAAAAUAUGUUAAGACUCUUCCCUGUCUUGGCAUUGCUAAUCCUUCUGCAUUUAAAAUAGUAGAAACCGAUGCCUCUGAAGUUGGAUUUGGAGGUAUUCUUAAACAAAAAUUAAACCCUUCUUCACAUGAAGAAAUUGUUUGUUUUCAUUCAGGAGCUUGGGAUCAAACCCAACAAAAUUAUUCAACCAUUAAAAAAGAAAUUUUAAGCCUUGUCUUAUGCAUCAAUAAAUUCCAGCAUGAACUUUUAAAUCAAAAGUUUUUAGUCAGAAUUGAUUGCCAGUCAGCAAAAUUUAUUUUAGAAAAAGAUGUUCAAAAUAUUGCAUCAAAACAGAUUUUUGCCAGAUGGCAGGCUUUAUUAAGCAUAUUUGAUUUUGAUAUACAAUACAUUAAAGGAAGUGAAAAUUCUAUUCCAGAUUUUCUAACUAGAGAAUUUCUACAAACAGGAGUGAAAGAUGAGUGUGAGAGAUAACAAUAGCCAGGUUAUUAUAUAUAUAUAUAUAUAUAUAUCGAUUCCGAAAAUGAGGUCGAAAACGACAUUCGAAAACUGGAACUUGAAAUCAGGAAUUUGGUUGCAUAUGAAGUUGCAAAAGAGGUUGCAACACGGCUGGCGCCGCCUGGAGUUGCAGAUGAGGUUGCAAAAGUUGCAAACAGUAUUUUUGAAAAAAAGAUUUUAUGAAAAGGUAUUUUUAAAAAGAAUUCUGGAAGGUAGUAUUUUUGUAAAUAAUUAAAGAAAAGGUAGGUAGUUUUGUAGAUUUCCCUUAAUUUUUAUAGCUAACAAAUUUCAAAAAUAUAUAUUAUUUGCACAUACAUCUUCAGAACAUAUUACAUAAAUAAGCUGCUCCAGAGCUCUUCAUCCCAAACAUGACGAUGACUAGGAAAGAGAAAAAAAAAUUCCAGUUCACAUUUCGAACCUGCUGGACAAGUAAGUUUUCUUUUAAUUUUCAAACAUGGAUUAACUUCUUAUUCAUUCAUUUACUUUUGUGAUGUAAUUGGAUCAAAUUUUUUGUAUAUAAUCCCAUGUGAAGCAAACACAUGAAUUUAGCUCUAUACAUUUCAGGCCUGGUUCUCAUUUCUAUGUAUACAACUUGGAUAGUUUUAUGAUUAAUAUGCUCGAUAUGAUACCAUGAUUUGAUAUUGCGUUUGUUAAGUGUUUAAUAAAUGUUAUCCAAACUAAUUGCCUCUAGUUGGUCAUGAUGUAAUUCGAUAUUCAUAAGUUGUUUUUGAUAUCAAUAAUCAAAUUUGAGUCGAUAUGUGCAAGAGAUCGCUGUGAAUAUAUGCGUAACAGGUCACUGUGAAAUGUAAUAAGUGUGAGUGAAGUAUGUUUGAAUUUAUAACUCAAAUCCAAUGAUUUUAAUUGCUAAUUUAAGAAUGGAAUGGUACUGUUUAUGUCAAGUGUUCAUUUUCUUCGUAUAUGUGUACAACUUUAAUAACAUGUCUUAAUGCUAUGAAGUAUUAUACUAUUAUUCCACCAAGUCCAAGAGUAAUUCCUUUUCCUUAGAAUUUUCAAUAGCUUCCCGGGGGCGAAGAAGGCUUAUUAAUAUACAGAUUUUGUUAAGUAUCAGCUCAAUAGAAGUAGUCAGGUGUUAAGUAAAUUCCUUGUCAUCAUGUACAUACGGGGUUGUUCCAAAUUGUGCAACAUAGGACUAAACAGAACUUUUCCUUUGAGCUAAUUACCUUCAAGCGCAAGGUUCUCUUAUUUGCCAGAAGAAAAUAAUAAGAGUUCCUCGAUGAAAAAUUCCCAUGUCAUAAUCGAUUGCUCCACUCGUAAUGUUUGAAACCAAAUGUUCAAUCACUCUACAAUGUUGCAUAUAUAGGUUAAGCUGAGCCCAAAUGAUGUCAGUAUUAAUUAUGACACCCACAAGCGAAACACUAAUCAGAUUACAGGAAACCUUCCUAUUUCGGGGGUGGUGUAGGCAUACAGUGACUUAGAUCAGAUGAGUCAAUUUUGAACAUGAAAACAAAUAAGAUGGUAUUUUGUAGGCACUGGAUGUACGAUUAUGAAGUUUCACUUCCCUAACUCCACUGUUUGAUAUGUUUUUAAUCCAAAUAUCUAUAUCUGAAUAGAGAUGAAGUGGCAGAUCAUUAGGAUUGCAAAGAAUAAACUUCAAUAUGAGACCUCCAAGAGAUAAAAGAAUACUGCUGCCGGUUAUUGAAAAUUCAUAUAGUUUAGUUUCUCUACUUCUGAAAGGAAACCUCUGAGAAAACCGGUUGAAGAAAAGGUCAUCAAAAACUAGGUGUGAGUGUAUUUCCCAUUUACCCCUUCAUGUUUUUGAGAGAAUCCUCAUUCUUGCUACACAGUCAACCGGCAAUCACUUUUGAAUUAGGUCUAGUAAGUCACUGGGCAUGUCACUUUUGAAUUAGACCUUAUACCAAAGCGAUUGCCGGUUGACUGUGUAGCGAGAAUGUACAUUCUCUCAAAAACAUGGAGGGGUAAAUGGGAAAUGCACCCACACCUAGUUUUUGAUGACCUUUUUCUUCAACCGGCUUUCUCAGAGGUUUCCUUCCAGAAGUAGAGAAACCAAACUAUAUGAAUUUUGAAGAACCGUCAGCAGUAGUCUUUUAUCUCGUAGUGGUCUCAUAUUGAAGUUUUUUCUUUGCAUUCCUCAUGAUUUGUUUCUUCAUCUCUAUUUAGAUAUAGAUAUUUGGAUUAAAAACAUAACAAACAAUGGAGUUAAGGAAGUGCAACUUCAUAAUCGUACAUUGAGUGCCCACAAAAUACCAUCGUAUUUGUUUUCCUGUUCAGAGUUGACUCGUCUGAUUCUAAGUUGUAUGCUCACACCACCCCGGAAAUUGAAGACUUCCGUAAUCUGAUUACUGUUUUGAUUGUGGGUGUCAUAAUUACAACUGACAUAUCAUUUGGGGCUCAACUUACUGACCUACAUUUGCAAAGUUGCAUUGGGAUUGAACAUUUGAGAAUGGAAAGGCAUUUGUUUAUGUCAAGUGUUCAUUUUCUUCGUAUUUGUGUACAACUUUAAUAACAUGUCUUAAUGCUAUCAAGUAUUAUACUAUUAUUCCACCAAGUACAAGAGUAAUUCCUUUUCCUUAGAAUUUUCGAUGGCUUCCCGGGGGCGUAGAAGGCUUAUUAAUAUACAUAUUUUGUUAAGUAUCAGCUCAAUAGAAGUAGUCAGGUGUUAAGUAGAUUCCUUGUCAUCAUGUACAUACGGGGUUGUUCCAAAUUGUGCAACAUAGGACUCAAAAAAACUUUUUCUUUGAGCUAAUUACCUUCACGCGCAAGGUUCUCUUAUUUGCCAGAAGAAAAUGAUAAGAGUUCCUCGAUGAAAAAUUCCCAUGUCAUAAUCGAUUGCUCCACUCGUAAGGUUUGAAACCAAAUGUUCAAUCACACUACAAAGUUGCAUAUAUAGGUUAGUAAGUUGAGCCCAAAUGAUGUCAGUAUUAAUUAUGACACCCAUAUGCGAAACACUAAUCAGAUUAUAGGAAACCUUCAUAUUUCGGGGGUGGUGUAGGCAUACAGUGACUUAGAUCAGAUGAGUCAAUUUUGAACAUGAAAACAAAUAAGAUGGUAUUUUGUAGGCACUGGAUGUACGAUUAUGAAGUUUCACUUCCCUAACUCCACUGUUUGAUAUGUUUUUAAUCCAAAUAUCUAUAUCUGAAUAGAGAUGAAGUGGCAGAUCAUUAGGAUUGCAAAGAAUAAACUUCAAUAUGAGAC